GUGUUAUUCUUCCCCAGAAAGCAUAACCUCGAUCCAAUCGUUAGUAAACCCAAAGUGAAGGACAUUCUACACAGCAUUGGAUAGUACUCUUCACAAGAAUGAAGAUCAUGGAAGAUAAGGGACGACUGAAGAAUGUUAUGGAUUACAGGACACUAAGGAGAGAUGAGCAGAACCAAGGCUACUUACAGAACGACUGAUUCCAGGUCCAGAGCACAGGACUCCGGAAUGUCCUGAAGCAGCAGCUGCCAGAGGUGCUACCCCGACCUGCAGGGACCUAAGGCCUGGGGAGCCAGUGUGAAGAGGUAGCGAGACUGGAGACUGAAUAACGUCAACGCCAGCAAGAAUAGCUGCGAUGGCCUAAGGCACAUGAAAGCGCUGUCACCUUCACCACAGAUCCAUGGUUUAAAAAAUGAUAUCUAUUGAGGACAUCUGCCUUCUGAUGGACAUCCACCACCAGAGCUUUGGAUCAGCAGAGAUAACCACCAUUACCCCAGUGGGUUGAGCGCAUUUUAACCCAAAGCAGGGUGCGUGACAGUUUUGCUAAGUAAUACAAGUCUGUAGGGUUUGGACUUCUUGAAAUAUUGAAAAUAACUCUUAGGACUAUUCCAAACAAAAUAAGAAAUGAGAAU
Manis javanica (Malayan pangolin) is the source of this 629-nucleotide non-coding RNA. The record is from RefSeq and is a predicted model, not a curated record. NCBI's taxonomy places the organism in Eukaryota, Metazoa, Chordata, Mammalia, Pholidota, Manidae.